This 253-nucleotide ribosomal RNA is filed under the name uncultured bacterium. RNAcentral's name for it is "partial 16S ribosomal RNA". It matches the Rfam family "Bacterial small subunit ribosomal RNA", at positions 524 to 776 of the family's 1533-position model. The record is from RNAcentral.
UACGUAGGGGGCUAGCGUUGUCCGGAAUCAUUGGGCGUAAAGCGCGCGUAGGCGGCCAGAUAAGUCCGGUGUGAAAGUCACAGGCUCAACCUGUGAAUGCCGCUGGAAACUGUCUGGCUUGAGUCCGGAAGGGGCGAGUGGAAUUCCCGGUGUAGCGGUGAAAUGCGCAGAUAUCGGGAGGAACACCGGUGGCGAAGGCGGUUCUCUGGGCCUUACCUGACGCUGAGGAGCGAAAGCGUGGGGAGCGAACAGG